Long non-coding RNA from Malaclemys terrapin pileata, 1503 nucleotides. RefSeq lists it as uncharacterized. The transcript is spliced from 3 exons. The record is from RefSeq and is a predicted model, not a curated record. Lineage: Eukaryota; Metazoa; Chordata; Testudines; Emydidae.
UUGGGUCAAGGGGAACAAGUAUCAUGGUAAAGAAGCCCAUACUCAUAUCUGCCUCUGGGUCAACCUGCUCCUUCUUCAAACAUCUGGCGUGACAUACAGGAUCCCAGGGGAGAGUCGUGCCUGAUCACCACAUCUCGCCAUGAAUUCGAUGAGUUACUGACCUUUAAAGCCAUCGCCCAGCUCUUCAUUCUGGGCUGCACAUGGAGUCUUGGUCUCCUCCAGGUCGGCCCAGCAGCCACAGUCAUGGCGUAUUUAUUCACCAUUGUCAACAGCCUGCAUCAUCUGGUCAUCUUCCUGGUGCACUGUCUCCUCAAUCAUCAGGUGAGAGAGGAGUACAGGAGAUGGAUCAAGGGAUUCUGAACGUCCAGCACGAAAUCUCAGACAUCCGAUCUAUCCAUGUCUGCUGUCCCCACCACCAGCACCAAGACGGCUAGAGGUCCUCUGCUCUGUUCCAGUACCAGCCUGUGAAAGAGUCAUCUCUAGCUGGGUCUCAUUACUGCUCUAACGGUACUUUGUCCCCUGAGCGAGCCAGGAUUUGUUAUAAGCCAGCUGGGAAUGUCAUUAAGAGUGUUAGUCAAUCCCAUCCUGAUUGAGGGGUAUCCUACAUGUCUUAGGCAUCAACACCGAACGCUCCUUUCCUAGCAGCUCCACAUUCCCUCCCCUUGUCUCCCCUGAGAACUCUAUUGGUCAUUGAUUGUCGACUGUGUGUGUGGUGUUGGCACUUGCAAUGUAAUGAGCUGGACGUAUUGGAUCAGGAUUGUCUCCUGGGACUGAAACCUUGUCGGUCCAGAUGUGUACGGGGAGAUUUUGGCAAACCAGUAAAGUGCCUGAAACCACUAUGGCUUAUUGCUAAAAGCAACCUAGUCAGCAGGCUGUAAAGUGGCCAUGCAGCUUGACCAAGGCAGGAGGGGAGGGGGGCUGGGGUGCCACAGAAAGGGCAGCUUGACCCCAUGUCCUUCCUGAUAAGAAUUGUGUUGAAGUUGCUGAUACAUGCAUUUUAGGAGAGCAGGAUGUGCCCCAGGAAUGUCUAUUGGGGCCUCAAGGCUGCAAACUCUGGAAAAACCCACACCGGGUUAAUCAAUAAUCAGAAGGAACCUCUUGCCUGACCAUUGAAACUGCUUACUGAACAAGUUUUCUUUAAGAGACGUGUAUCAGAGGGGUAGCCGUGUUAGUCUGAAUCUGUAAAAAGCAGCAGAGGGUCCUGUGGCACCUUUAAGACUAACAGAAGUAUUGGGAGCAUAAACUUUUGUGGGUAAGAACCUCACUUCUUCAGAUGCAUGUCUUUAAGAGACAUGUCAUUCUAUUACUAAUGUAUAAAUAAGGGGGGAAAGUUUGAGGUAGUUGGACUCUUUUGGACUCUCCCUCUAGAUACAUCUUGCGGUCCCCACUGGCAGACGGAAGAUUUGGCCACCGGAAGCUUGCCGCUGUUUCACUUGAGAGCCACACUCCGCUUUGGUAAUUAUCAAGGGUUGGGGGUGUUUUACUAACCUGUUGCGGACGUGU